AAAUCGAUGUACCUGGACGGUGAGUGUCGUGUCUCUUCGCGACGUGUCACUGUCCAUCGGGGACGUUCCAGCUCUCUGCCUGCAGAAUAUUUAAAAUUUUGGAAAAGCUCGGUAAGUGUCUAAAUUAG
Caenorhabditis elegans is the source of this 128-nucleotide non-coding RNA. NCBI's taxonomy places the organism in Eukaryota, Metazoa, Nematoda, Chromadorea, Rhabditida, Rhabditidae. The record is from Ensembl.